This 72-nucleotide transfer RNA is filed under the name Microcaldota archaeon. Its description in RNAcentral is "Candidatus Micrarchaeota archaeon (hot springs metagenome) tRNA-Thr". It matches the Rfam family "tRNA". From Rfam's summary of the family: Transfer RNA (tRNA) molecules are approximately 80 nucleotides in length. Their secondary structure includes four short double-helical elements and three loops (D, anti-codon, and T loops). The record is from RNAcentral. Lineage: Archaea; Nanobdellati; Microcaldota. RNAcentral also lists the same sequence under 2 other names.
GCCCCUGUGGCUCAGUGGUAGAGCGCGUGCUUGGUAAGCACGAGGCCGCGGGUUCAAUUCCCGCCGGGGGCU